GCCCGAUUAGCUCAGUUGGUAGAGCAUCAGACUUUUAAUCUGAGGGCCAUGGGUUUGAGUCCCUUAUCGGGCU
RNAcentral lists this transfer RNA (73 nucleotides) under Paramuricea clavata. It matches the Rfam family "tRNA". From Rfam's summary of the family: Transfer RNA (tRNA) molecules are approximately 80 nucleotides in length. Their secondary structure includes four short double-helical elements and three loops (D, anti-codon, and T loops). The record is from Rfam by way of RNAcentral. Lineage: Eukaryota; Metazoa; Cnidaria; Anthozoa; Malacalcyonacea; Plexauridae.